RNAcentral lists this microRNA (22 nucleotides) under Cucumis melo (muskmelon). RNAcentral describes it as "cme-miR156j". Its record names the gene cme-miR156j. Lineage: Eukaryota; Viridiplantae; Streptophyta; Magnoliopsida; Cucurbitales; Cucurbitaceae. The record is from miRBase by way of RNAcentral.
GUUGACAGAAGAGAGUGAGCAC